RNAcentral lists this ribosomal RNA (460 nucleotides) under uncultured bacterium. RNAcentral describes it as "partial 16S ribosomal RNA". It matches the Rfam family "Bacterial small subunit ribosomal RNA", at positions 338 to 795 of the family's 1533-position model. The record is from RNAcentral.
CCUACGGGUGGCAGCAGUGAGGAAUAUUGGUCAAUGGGCGCGAGCCUGAACCAGCCAAGUAGCGUGAAGGAUGACUGCCCUACGGGUUGUAAACUUCUUUUAUAAGGGAAUAAAGUGAGGCACGUGUGCCAUUUUGUAUGUACUUUAUGAAUAAGGAUCGGCUAACUCCGUGCCAGCAGCCGCGGUAAUACGGAGGAUCCGAGCGUUAUCCGGAUUUAUUGGGUUUAAAGGGAGCGUAGGUGGGUUGUUAAGUCAGUUGUGAAAGUUUGCGGCUCAACCGUAAAAUUGCAAUUGAUACUGGCAGACUAGAGUACAGUAGGGGGAGGCGGAAUUCGUGGUGUAGCAGUGAAAUGCUUAGAUAUCACGAAGAACUCCGAUGGCGAAGGCAGCUUACUGGACUGCAACUGACACUGAGGCUCGAAAGUGUGGGGAUCAAACUGGAUUAGAUACCCUGGUAGUC